UACGUAGGUGGCAAGCGUUGUCCGGAAUUACUGGGUGUAAAGGGUGCGCAGGCGGGACUGCAAGUUGGAUGUGAAAUUUCGAGGCUUAACCUCGAAACUGCAUCCAAAACUGUAGUUCUUGAGUGAAGUAGAGGUAGGCGGAAUUCCGAGUGUAGCGGUGAAAUGCGUAGAUAUUCGGAGGAACACCAGUGGCGAAGGCGGCCUACUGGGCUUUAACUGACGCUGAGGCACGAAAGCAUGGGGAGCAAACAGG
Molecule: ribosomal RNA, 253 nt
Filed under: uncultured bacterium
Lineage: Bacteria
Description: partial 16S ribosomal RNA
Rfam family: Bacterial small subunit ribosomal RNA
Source: RNAcentral